RNAcentral lists this ribosomal RNA (47 nucleotides) under Verticillium dahliae. RNAcentral's name for it is "partial 28S ribosomal RNA". The record is from RNAcentral. Lineage: Eukaryota; Fungi; Ascomycota; Sordariomycetes; Glomerellales; Plectosphaerellaceae.
CUUUGUAUGCUUCUCUCUCUGAGGGUAGCCCUACUUCGCCUCGAUUU